GUCUCUUUGUAUAUUAUAGAUAAGGAGUUGGGCCUGCUCGGUGAUGUAAUUUAACAGCUGCGGUAUUUUAACUGUACUAAGGUAGCAUAAUAGUUUGCCUUAUAAUUUGAGGCUGGAAUGAAUGGUUUGACGAAGGUUAAUCUGUCUCUAUCUUAUUUAAUAGAAAUUAAUUUUUAUAGUGAAAAAGCUUAAAUUUUUUAAAGGGACGAGAAGACCCUAUUGAGCUUAUAAUUUUGAUUUAUUAUAAAUGAAUAGUAUAAAAUAAAUUUUAAUUGGGGUGAUUAAGGAAUAAAAUAUUAUAGGUAGUAACUUCCUUAAAAGAAAUAUAUAGAUUUAUGAUUUAACCAAUAUUAAUAUGUUGCUUAUAAUAUAGUUACCAUAGGGAUAACAGCGUAAUUUAUUUAGAGAGUUCUUAUUAAAAAAUGAGAUUGCGACCUCGAUGUUGGAUUAAGGUAACCUUAAGGUGUAGAAGCUUUGAUAGGUAAAUCUGUUCGAUUUUUAAAACUUUACA
RNAcentral lists this ribosomal RNA (511 nucleotides) under Euprymna tasmanica. RNAcentral describes it as "partial 16S ribosomal RNA". It matches the Rfam family "Bacterial large subunit ribosomal RNA", at positions 1817 to 2600 of the family's 2925-position model. Lineage: Eukaryota; Metazoa; Mollusca; Cephalopoda; Sepiida; Sepiolidae. The record is from RNAcentral.